Molecule: ribosomal RNA, 405 nt
Filed under: uncultured bacterium
Lineage: Bacteria
Description: bacterial SSU rRNA
Rfam family: Bacterial small subunit ribosomal RNA
Source: RNAcentral
UGGGGAAUAUUGCGCAAUGGGGGAAACCCUGACGCAGCAACGCCGCGUGAGUGAAGAAGGCCUUCGGGUUGUAAAGCUCUUUAAUCAGGGACGAAGAAUGACGGUACCUGAGGAAUAAGCUCCGGCUAACUACGUGCCAGCAGCCGCGGUAAUACGUAGGGAGCAAGCGUUAUCCGGAUUUACUGGGUGUAAAGGGCGUGUAGGCGGGCCUGCAAGUCAGAAGUGAAAUCUGGGGGCUUAACCCCCAAACUGCUUUUGAAACUGCGGGUCUUGAGUGAUGGAGAGGCAGGCGGAAUUCCCAGUGUAGCGGUGAAAUGCGUAGAUAUUGGGAGGAACACCAGUGGCGAAGGCGGCCUGCUGGACAUUAACUGACGCUGAGGCGCGAAAGCGUGGGGAGCAAACAGG